UGGCGGCGAUGCCUACACAUGCAAGUCGUACGAGAACUCUUUAAGCUUGCUUAGAGAUAGUAAAGUGGCGCACGGGUGAGUAACGCGUGGGCAAUCUGCCUCCAAGAUCGGGAUAACUCGCCGAAAGGCGUGCUAAUACCGGAUAAUAUUUUAGGAACGCAUGUUCCAAAAAUCAAAGAUGGCCUCUACAUGUAAGCUGUUGCUUGGAGAGGAGCCCGCGUACCAUCAGCUUGUUGGUAAGGUAAUGGCUUACCAAGGCUUUGACGGUUAGGUGGUCUGAGAGGACGAUCACCCACACUGGGACUGAGACACUGCCCAGACUCCUACGGGAGGCAGCAGUGGGGAAUAUUGGACAAUGGGGGCAACCCUGAUCCAGCAAUGCCGCGUGUGUGAAGAAGGCCUGCGGGUUGUAAAGCACUUUCAGUUGAGAAGAAAAGCUAUGGGUUUAAUACCCCUAUAGAUUUGACGUUACCAACAGAAGAAGCACCGGCUAACUCUGUGCCAGCAGCCNCGGUAAUACG
This 521-nucleotide ribosomal RNA is filed under the name uncultured delta proteobacterium. Its description in RNAcentral is "bacterial SSU rRNA". It matches the Rfam family "Bacterial small subunit ribosomal RNA", at positions 37 to 527 of the family's 1533-position model. The record is from RNAcentral. Lineage: Bacteria; Deltaproteobacteria.